UCAUAUGCUUGUCUCAAAGAUUAAGCCAUGCAUGUCUCAGUGCAAGCCGCACUAAGGUGAAACCGCGAAUGGCUCAUUAAAUCAGUUAUGGUUCCUUAGAUGGUGGACAGUUACUUGGAUAACUGUGGUAAUUCUAGAGCUAAUACAUGCAACUCGGUCCCGACCGGAAGCGGAAGGGACGCUUUUAUUAGAUCAAAACCAAUCGGGCGUUCGCGUCCGUUUGCCUUGGUGACUCUGAAUAAAUUGUGGCAGAUCGCACGGUCUCUGCACCGGCGACGCAUCUUUCAAAUGUCUGCCUUAUCAACUGUCGAUGGUAGGUUCUGCGCCUACCAUGGUUGUAACGGGUAACGGGGAAUCAGGGUUCGAUUCCGGAGAGGGAGCCUGAGAAACGGCUACCACAUCCAAGGAAGGCAGCAGGCGCGCAAAUUACCCACUCCCGGCACGGGGAGGUAGUGACGAAAAAUAACGAUACGGGACUCAUCCGAGGCCCCGUAAUCGGAAUGAGCACACUUUAAAUCCUUUAACGAGUAUCCAUUGGAGGGCAAGUCUGGUGCCAGCAGCCGCGGUAAUUCCAGCUCCAAUAGCGUAUAUUAAAGUUGUUGCGGUUAAAAAGCUCGUAGUCGGACUUGUGUCACACGCUGCCGGUUCACCGCCCGUCGGUGUUUAACUGGCAUGCACGUGCUGACGUCCUGCCGGUGGCCCAAGCCGGGCUGGGAGUUUGGGUGCGGGAUUCCCUUCUGGGGCCCGCCUCGACCCCGGUCUCUGGGGAGGGCCUACUCAUACCCCUCGCGGUGCUCUUAACCGAGUGUCUCGAUGGGCCGGCACGUUUACUUUGAACAAAUUAGAGUGCUUAAAGCAGGCAGCAUCCGCCUGAAUACUGAGUGCAUGGAAUAAUGGAAUAGGACCUCGGUUCUAUUUUGUUGGUUUUCGGAAUCCCCGAGGUAAUGAUCAAUAGGGACAGACGGGGGCAUUCGUAUUGCGACGUUAGAGGUGAAAUUCUUGGAUCGUCGCAAGACGGACCGAAGCGAAAGCAUUUGCCAAGAAUGUUUUCUCUGAUCAAGAACGAAAGUUAGAGGUUCGAAGGCGAUCAGAUACCGCCCUAGUUCUAACCAUAAACGAUGCCAGCCAGCAAUCCGCCGAAGUUCCUCCGAUGACUCGGCGGGCGGCUUCCGGGAAACCAAAGCUUUUGGGUUCCGGGGGAAGUAUGGUUGCAAAGCUGAAACUUAAAGGAAUUGACGGAAGGGCACCACCAGGAGUGGAGCCUGCGGCUUAAUUUGACUCAACACGGGAAACCUCACCAGGCCCGGACACCGGGAGGAUUGACAGAUUGAGAGCUCUUUCUUGAUUCGGUGGGUGGUGGUGCAUGGCCGUUCUUAGUUGGUGGAGCGAUUUGUCUGGUUAAUUCCGAUAACGAACGAGACUCUAGCCUGCUAACUAGUCGCUUCCGGCAUCCUUUAGUGCUGCCGGCGACUUCUGAUCUUCUUAGAGGGACAGGCGGCUUCUAGCCGCACGAGAUUGA
This 1519-nucleotide ribosomal RNA is filed under the name Pycnoscelus sp. MNHN BL14. RNAcentral's name for it is "SSU rRNA". It matches the Rfam family "Eukaryotic small subunit ribosomal RNA", at positions 24 to 1449 of the family's 1831-position model. The record is from RNAcentral. Lineage: Eukaryota; Metazoa; Arthropoda; Insecta; Blattodea; Blaberidae.